GCCACUUUUUUUUUUUUUCCUGAGAAUCAUUGGCUUUUUUAUCUGCAUUCACAUGAAGGCCAGCAGAAUGAACUUUUUUGGGGAGCAGAAGGCUAUUUGGCUUAUUCAUUCAGCUCCUCUUCAUUCUCUCUAGAUAUUUUGUCAUUUUCUCUCAAUUUUCUCCAUAAUCAAGUGAAAUCCUUCAUUUCUGUACAAAUUUUUUAGCUUAAGAGCAUAGAUCAACAAAUAGGCAAGGUGGUUGGCGAGCAAUGAUGAUUUUUUAUUUUUCUAAUUUUUAACUA
RNAcentral lists this unclassified non-coding RNA (281 nucleotides) under Hevea brasiliensis (rubber tree). Lineage: Eukaryota; Viridiplantae; Streptophyta; Magnoliopsida; Malpighiales; Euphorbiaceae. The record is from RNAcentral.